AUUGAACGCUGGCGGCAGGCCUAACACAUGCAAGUCGAACGAGUGGCGGACGGGUGAGUAAUGUCUGGGAAACUGCCCGAUGGAUGGGGAUAACUACUGGAAACGGUAGCUAAUACCGCAUACCAUCGGAUGUGCCCAGAUGGGAUUAGCUAGUAGGGGGGGUAACGGCUCACCUAGGCGACGAUCCCUAGCUGGUCUGCGAGGAUGACCGGCCACACUGGAACGGAGACACGGUCCAGACUCCUACGGGAGGCAGCAGUGGGGAAUAUUGCACAAUGGGCGAAAGCCUGAUGCAGCCAUCCCGCGUGUGUGAAGAAGGCCUUCGGGUUGUAAAGUACUUUCAGCGGGGAGGCGUUACUCGCAGAAGAAGCACCGGCUAACUCCGUGCCAGCAGCCGCGGUAAUUC
This 406-nucleotide ribosomal RNA is filed under the name uncultured bacterium. Its description in RNAcentral is "partial 16S ribosomal RNA". It matches the Rfam family "Bacterial small subunit ribosomal RNA", at positions 30 to 526 of the family's 1533-position model. The record is from RNAcentral.